Molecule: ribosomal RNA, 492 nt
Filed under: uncultured bacterium
Lineage: Bacteria
Description: partial 16S ribosomal RNA
Rfam family: Bacterial small subunit ribosomal RNA
Source: RNAcentral
AGUGAACGCUGGCGGUAGGCCUAACACAUGCAAGUCGAACGGCAGCACAGUAAGAGCUUGCUCUUACGGGUGGCGAGUGGCGGACGGGUGAGGAAUACAUCGGAAUCUACUUUUUCGUGGGGGAUAACGUAGGGAAACUUACGCUAAUACCGCAUCCGACCUACGGUUGAAAGAAGGGGAUCUUCGGACCUUGGGCGAUUGAAUGAGCCGAUGUCGGAUUAGCUAGUUGGCGGGGUAAAGGCCCACCAAGGCGACGAUCCGUAGCUGGUCUGAGAGGAUGAUCAGCCACACUGGAACUGAGACACGGUCCAGACUCCUACGGGAGGCAGCAGUGGGGAAUAUUGGACAAUGGGCGCAAGCCUGAUCCAGCCAUACCGCGUGGGUGAAGAAGGCCUUCGGGUUGUAAAGCCCUUUUGUUGGGAAAGAAAAGCAGCAGGUUAAUACCCCGCUGUCCUGACGGUACCCAAAGAAUAAGCACCGGCUAACUUCGUG